This 484-nucleotide ribosomal RNA is filed under the name uncultured bacterium. RNAcentral describes it as "partial 16S ribosomal RNA". It matches the Rfam family "Bacterial small subunit ribosomal RNA", at positions 29 to 507 of the family's 1533-position model. The record is from RNAcentral.
AUUGAACGCUGGCGGCAUGCUUUACACAUGCAAGUCGAACGGCAGCGCGGGCUUCGGCCUGGCGGCGAGUGGCGAACGGGUGAGUAAUACAUCGGAACGUGCCCAGUAGUGGGGGAUAGCUCGGCGAAAGCCGGAUUAAUACCGCAUAAGACCUGAGGGUGAAAGCGGGGGAUCUUCGGACCUCGCGCCAUUGGAGCGGCCGAUGGCAGAUUAGCGAGUUGGUGGGGUAAAGGCCUACCAAGGCGACGAUCUGUAGCUGGUCUGAGAGGACGACCAGCCACACUGGGACUGAGACACGGCCCAGCCUCCUACGGGAGGCAGCAGUGGGGAAUUUUGGACAAUGGGCGAAAGCCUGAUCCAGCAAUGCCGCGUGUGUGAUGAAGGCCUUCGGGUUGUAAAGCACUUUUGGCGGGAACGAAAAGGACUGUGCCAAUACCACGGUUCGAUGACGGUACCCGCAGAAUAAGCACCGGCUAACUACGUG